AGAGUUUGAUCCUGGCUCAGGACGAACGCUGGCGGCGUGCUUAACACAUGCAAGUCGAGCGGUAAGGCUCCUUCGGGAGUACACGAGCGGCGAACGGGUGAGUAACACGUGAGCAAUCUGCCCUUCACAUCGGGAUAACUCCGGGAAACCGAAGCUAAUACCGAAUACGACCACUUCAGGCAUCUGAUGGUGGUGGAAAGUUCCGGCGGUGAAGGAUGAGCUCGCGGCCUAUCAGCUUGUUGGUGGGGUAACGGCCCACCAAGGCCUCGACGGGUAGCCGGCCUGAGAGGGUGACCGGCCACACUGGGACUGAGACACGGCCCAGACUCCUACGGGAGGCAGCAGUGGGGAAUAUUGGACAAUGGGCGAAAGCCUGAUCCAGCAACGCCGCGUGAGGGAUGACGGCCUUCGGGUUGUAAACCUCUUUCAGCAGGGACGAAGCGCAAGUGACGGUACCUGCAGAAGAAGCACCGGCCAACUACGUGCCAGCAGCCGCGGUAAUACGUAGGGUGCGAGCGUUGUCCGGAAUUAUUGGGCGUAAAGGGCUCGUAGGCGGUCUGUUGCGUCGGGAGUGAAAACUCAGGGCUUAACCCUGAGCCUGCUUCCGAUACGGGCAGACUAGAGGUAUGCAGGGGAGAACGGAAUUCCUGGUGUAGCGGUGAAAUGCGCAGAUAUCAGGAGGAACACCGGUGGCGAAGGCGGUUCUCUGGGCAUUACCUGACGCUGAGGAGCGAAAGUGUGGGGAGCGAACAGGAUUAGAUACCCUGGUAGUCCACACCGUAAACGUUGGGCGCUAGGUGUGGGACUCAUUCCACGAGUUCCGUGCCGCAGCUAACGCAUUAAGCGCCCCGCCUGGGGAGUACGGCCGCAAGGCUAAAACUCAAAGGAAUUGAUGG
This 896-nucleotide ribosomal RNA is filed under the name uncultured bacterium. RNAcentral describes it as "bacterial SSU rRNA". It matches the Rfam family "Bacterial small subunit ribosomal RNA", at positions 8 to 916 of the family's 1533-position model. The record is from RNAcentral.